AGGUGUAGCGCAGUUGGUAGCGCGCCUGGUUUGGGACCAGGAUGCCGCAGGUUCGAAUCCUGUCACCU
Molecule: transfer RNA, 68 nt
Filed under: human gut metagenome
Rfam family: tRNA
About the family: Transfer RNA (tRNA) molecules are approximately 80 nucleotides in length. Their secondary structure includes four short double-helical elements and three loops (D, anti-codon, and T loops).
Source: RNAcentral